GACGAACGCUGGCGGCGUGCUUAACACAUGCUAGUCGAACGGAAAGGCCCUGCCUUUGUUGGGUGCUCGAGUGGCGAACGGGUGAGUAACACGUGAGUAACCUGCCCUUGACUUUGGGAUAACUUCAGGAAACUGGGGCUAAUACCGGAUAGGAGCUCCUGCUGCAUGGUGGGGGUUGGAAAGUUUCGGCGGUUGGGGAUGGACUCGCGGCUUAUCAGCUUGUUGGUGGGGUAGUGGCUUACCAAGGCUUUGACGGGUAGCCGUCCUGAGAGGGUGACCGGCCACAUUGGGACUGAGAUACGGCCCAGACUCCUACGGGAGGCAGCAGUGGGGAAUAGUGCACAAUGGGCAGAAGCCUGAUGCAGCACAGCCGCGUGCGGGAUGACGGCCUUCGCGUUGUAAACCGCUUUCGCCUGUGACGAAGCGUGAGUGACGGUAAUGAGUAAAGAAGCACCGGCUAACUACGUG
This 468-nucleotide ribosomal RNA is filed under the name uncultured bacterium. RNAcentral describes it as "partial 16S ribosomal RNA". It matches the Rfam family "Bacterial small subunit ribosomal RNA", at positions 28 to 507 of the family's 1533-position model. The record is from RNAcentral.